This is a long non-coding RNA of Ruditapes philippinarum (Manila clam), 795 nucleotides long. RefSeq lists it as uncharacterized. Lineage: Eukaryota; Metazoa; Mollusca; Bivalvia; Venerida; Veneridae. The record is from RefSeq and is a predicted model, not a curated record. The transcript is spliced from 3 exons.
UAUUAUUAUUAUUAUUAUUAUUAUUAUUAUUAUUAUUAUUAUUAUUAUUAUUAUUAUUAUUAUUAUUAUUAUAAAAAAAUAAAUAACCGAUUAAGCAUUAGAAUCAAAGUUUUGCCUAUGAAAAAGUAUCAAUGGUUAUAUUAUACAUGUAUGCAAAGUUAUCGUUUAUGGAUACAUGAUAUUUUCAAUUAAAUAUUGCAUUAUUUUUAAUUAAAUUAAGGUCUUAGUAUGCUUGUUUCUUCCGCAUUAGCACGGACCUUAAUUUAAAUCCGUGGCAUUAUUAAUGCUUAAUGCUUUAUUACACAAACGCUAUCUAGGCAUAUCACGCGUUUUCAAAACAACCAAUGAGAUUAAAGCGUUGGUUUUGUAUCAUGUGAAUCAUAUCAACCAAUCAGAAAUAGCGCGGGCGAAAUGAAAAAAGAAAAAAACACGAUUGGAAAUGGAUAAUAAAUAAAAUUCAGAAUAUUGCAAAACAAGGACAGUAUAAAGCGUGUUUAAAUCUUCCAGAAAUGCAACUGUGCCCUCUUUACAGCAAUUAUAGAUGAAGCAAAGUAUGGUAGCAAGUUAUAUAGAUAUACACACAUGCCGAAGAAGAUUGUAAUAUCUGGAGAAAACAUUUCCUUCGUCAAGAAAUAGACACCAUUACACUGGUCUACGUAACAUUCCUAUUAUAGAUGAUUGAUAUAUUUAUGUGCUUUUAAGAACAGUGUUUGAAUGUCGAAUUUCUGUGAAUACGGAUUUUUAGUUUUAAUGGUUAUUAUUAAAACUUUCUGUUAUAAUCAAUUUGUGCUAUGG